RNAcentral lists this long non-coding RNA (3641 nucleotides) under Sus scrofa (pig). RNAcentral's name for it is "lncRNA (ENSSSCG00055004935.1)". Lineage: Eukaryota; Metazoa; Chordata; Mammalia; Artiodactyla; Suidae. The record is from RNAcentral.
GCCAUACCUGUGGCAUAUGGAAGUUCCCAAGUUAGGGGUCGAAUUGGAACUACAGCUGCUGGCCUACACCACACAGCCACAGCAACACCAGAUCUGAGCUGCAUCUGCGACCAUACUGCAUCUGUGGCAAUGCCAGAUCCCUAACCCACUGAGCAAGGCCAGGGAUCUAGCAUCCCCAUGGAUACUAGUUGUGUUCUUAACCCUCUGAGCCACAAUGGAAACUCCUACAUAAACUACUAUUAUAUCUUAUGGAAUGAAUAUCUCUGGAAUACAAUUUGUGGAACAGAUAGCUAAAAAUAAUAUUGAGCUUUCUGAAGUUCAAGGUAAUUGCUCUGAGGCAGGAAUGGACUAUCAGUUAAAGUCAAUUACCAAUGUUUUAAGAAGUGAGUGAUUCUCUAGGAUUUAGUCUCUUGCUAUUUCCUCUCAAGGAACUUGCAACCUCAAUUAGAAGUUAAUAGAAAAUGGGAGUUCCCGUCGUGGCGCAGUGGUUAACGAAACCGCCUAGGAACCAUGAUGUUGCGGGUUCAGUCCCUGCCCUUGCUCAGUGGGUUAACGAUCCGGUGUUGCCGUGAGCUGUGGUGUAGGUUGCAUAUGCGGCUCGGAUCCUGCGUUGCUGUGGCUCUGGCGUAGGCUGGUGGCUACAGUUCCGAUUAGACCCCUAGCCUGGGAACCUCCAUAUGCCGCGGGAGCGGCCCAAGAAAUAUCAACAACAACAACAACAAAAGACAAAAAAAAAUAAAUAAAUAAAAUAAAUAAAAUAAAAUAAAAUAAAAAAUAAAAAAAGAAAUUAAUAGAAAAUGUAAUUUGACAUUGUAACAUUUAGCCAAAAGGGCUGUCUCUCGAUGUUGUCAUCUGGAUGAGUGAAGAAAAGAUCCAAUUUUAACGUAUGUGUAUUCCAUAACUCUAUGUUCUAUGAGUAGAUAAACAGCAACAUUGAGAAAACAAAAUUGCAUUUUACUGGGCUUUAUCUGUACUUUUUUGCUCCUCCAGCAUGAGUACUGCAACUUGAAGCCUAUUGUGAAGUCACUCACUUUGUGUUUAAUGAUACACUCUACAGCAAUCCAUUUUUCAGGCUUGGACAGCUGAGACACCAAUGUUGCUCUUUAACCCAGACAAAGUGAACCAAAAUGAGUCAUAUAAUUUUUGUACAGUGUCAUAGGGAUCAUAAAAAUAUAUUAUAUAGUACUCUAACAUUACCAAGUCAAAGCAUAAAAAGAGAAUAUGCCUCUCCAAUAAGUCCAGAGUAUUAUCAGACUAUGAGUCAUAUUUUUAAAAAAUCAAGAAUAUUAGAUUUACCUUUAGCUCUAGGGACAUACAAAAAAUCUGCAAUAUAAAGUUUUUUUCUUUUAAAUUACUCAGUAUUAGUUUCCAGCCUAACUUUACAAUAUUAGCUUGAGACUAAGUAUUUAAAUAUGAGUUCCUAUUCUUCUGUGGAUAAUAACUAUCAAUAAUUCAAAUUAUAGGUUCAUUAUAUACCCAUUAACAGAUUAAACAAAGGAAGGCUUCCUAAUUUUCUCAGUGCUUAGAUAUAAGGGCUUUAUUUAGGGGGUCAUUAAGUAGACAGAAAGAGUUUGUGCCUUGGGUAUGGCAGACCUAGAUUCAUAUCUGCUCAGUAGCUUAGGACAAGUUAUUCACAAAUCCCACUAAGUUUCAGUUUUCUCAUAUGGAAAUGGAAAUCAAAUACUUCCUAUGGUUCCUUCAAAGCUUAAAUGUGGCUCGUACAUGGUAGUGCUCAACAAGCCUCCUUUUGGAAUCAGCAAAGAAUCCUAAAAUUCAAAUUUCCUAAGAGAACCUUAGAUGAGCUUUCCACCCUGACCCCAUCUCAGCAUAUAGCACCUGUGAUUACAAAUGUCUACUUACUCAUAUAUACCUUGCAUGAUAGACAACUUGAAGGCAGGGACCAUUUCUUAUUUCUCCUUUGUCUCCAAUACAUAGCAGAGUAUUUGGCAAUUUGGCAUAUAUUUAAAUGUAUAAAUAAGAGGAAUUUUCUUAAUUAAUGAAAAUGCCGAUGCAAACAAAAUUUUGAUUUAUUCUGCCUAUUUCCAUUGUUAUUUUAUAUAAAAGUAUAUUUAAAUGAAGUGUAAAAUAGUCAUCCAAGAAAUACCUUCUAUUACAAUAUGAUAUGAAAAAUAAUCACUGUUAAAUAUAUAUACAAUAUAAUUGUGUGUGCACAUACAAAAACAUAUAUAUAUGUAUACACAUACUGACUGCAUUGCCUUCAUUAAAAACCUUAUAUUACACCUUCUAGUAAUAAUCAAUGCAUAUUAUUAUCACUAAUAUGAAUCAAUAAUGUCCACUAGUAAUGUUGACCAUUUUAUUCAUUAAUAAACAUUUACUUAGCUCAUGCAAUGACUUUAGAGUGUACAAAGCACCAAAUUAGACUUUUCUCAGAGAGGUUUAAGUCUGAGUUAGACAGGCAGGCCAGACACAAACACGGAGAAUGAAGGUUAAUGCAUUCAAGGAAAGAAUGAGUGACAUCAUGGCAUAUACAUCAAUACCUGACACUUAAGAGGAAAGUGAGAGAUUCUAAAUUGCAUAAUACAAUUCAACACCAUUAUCAAAAAUACCCAUAACAAUCACAAGGACUCAAGCACACAUUCUCGGUGAAGGUUGACUUAAAUGUCUCAACUCAAGAAAAGAACCCAAAUAUAUUACUCAUUGAACAGCCAGUAAGGCAGAAACAAGGUUGCAUUACCCUAGAUGCUGACUAACAUGGCAAGGGAUAGAGUUUCUCUAGGAAAUGCCAUUCACAGAAAGCUUUUAGUGGAAGUAAAAAAUCAUCUGCCUAGCAGUUUCUUCAUGACCCCAAGAAGUUAUGAGGAGAUGGAAAGGAGAUGUGUUUUAGUGAGUUUAUUGUCCUUGUGUGAUAGUUUUUUUUUUUAAUUUUUUUUCUCAACUUACAAUCUCAAUUCUCUAAGACAAGCUUUAGUCAAAUGUGUUUUGCUUCUGCCCAUCUCAGGUGAUUACAAAAUUCUAUUACUUCAUGGAAAAAGAAACUCUAAAGAAAAUAAUUUAAAUAUCAAUAACUUUUUGAGACAAUAAGGAAAAAAAUCAAAAUUAGCAAGUCCCUAUUAAAUUUAAUCCCUAAAGAUAUUUAUUAAAGAGUAAGUCCUUAAAAAUAUUUAAGAAAGGUAAGGAAAUAUGUGAAUGUAAUGUAUUGGUUUCCAUAAGUUAUUCUGUUUAUAUUGUCAUAUAAUCUGUUCUUAUAUCAUCCAAAUUUUUCCAAUUAAACAUUUCAUCAAUGUAUAGGUAUACUAAACUUUGCAAUUAUGGGUUAUAUCCAAACUCUCAACUUUCCCAGCUGAAUAAAUGCAGCCAAUAACUUUACCACUUCUAAGCCUGUUUUCUUGACUUUUUUUUUUCUUUGUACAGCUGUACCUGUGGCAUAUGGAAGUUCCUGGGCUAGGAGUCAAAUUGGAGCUUCAGCUGCCUAUGCCUCAGCCAUGGUCAUGAGAACACUGAAUUUGAGGCACAACUGCUAUCUAUGUCACAGAUUCAGCAACACUGGAUCCUUAAUCCACUGAGCAAGGCCAGAGAUUGAAACCCCAUCCUCAUGGACACUAUGUCAGGUUCUUUUUUUUUUUUUAAUCUUUUGUCCUUAUAGGGCAGCACCAGCAGUAUAUGGAGGUUCCCAGGCUAGG